UCCUGGUUAACCCAGGCAGUCUCGUUAGAGUUCCCACCUAAAAUGUUGGCAACUAACGAUAAGGGUUGCGCUCGUUGCGGGACUUAACCCAACACCUCACGGCACGAGCUGACGACAGCCAUGCAGCACCUGUGCAGUGGUCCCGAAGGAAGACGCCAUUUCUGGCGCUGUCCACUGCAUGUCAAGCCUGGGUAAGGUUCUUCGCGUUGCAUCGAAUUAAACCACAUGCUCCACUGCUUGUGCGGGUCCCCGUCAAUUCUUUUGAGUUUCAGCCUUGCGACUGUACUCCCCAGGCGGUAUACUUAACGCGUUAGCUCCGGCACAACUAGGGUUGAUUCCAGUUACACCAAGUAUACAUCGUUUACGGCAAGGACUAC
This 377-nucleotide unclassified non-coding RNA is filed under the name uncultured Parachlamydiaceae bacterium. Its description in RNAcentral is "contains 16S-23S intergenic spacer region". The record is from RNAcentral. Lineage: Bacteria; Pseudomonadati; Chlamydiota; Chlamydiia; Parachlamydiales; Parachlamydiaceae.